Aegilops tauschii subsp. strangulata is the source of this 1776-nucleotide long non-coding RNA. RefSeq lists it as uncharacterized. The record is from RefSeq and is a predicted model, not a curated record. Lineage: Eukaryota; Viridiplantae; Streptophyta; Magnoliopsida; Poales; Poaceae.
UUCACUCCUAUCAUUGCGCUUGUCGUGAUGUGGGCUAUCAUUGCGUUGGCAUUUGAUGCGACGAUUGCGAUGGAUGCGCUUGAAACAGCGAGAUAGCGCAUGCGUUUUCUAGCAUUUACGGGAAUACUUAAAUGCAUAUCCUAUUUGUUGCAGGGGAAUAAAUGCAUACCUUUUUUGCAUUUCCAGGGGAAUAAAUGCAUACCUUUAUAGGGAAUAAAUGCAUACCAUUGAUGGCAUGUGCUACUAGCUGGAUAUAUGUUGCCCUCUAUCGUCUAGUCUAGAUCACAAUCACAACACAAAACCAAGAGCGACCACCUGUGUUGGAUGACCAUGGCAAAGUAUGCACAUAUGUCUUUCAUCAUUAUGGUCCUUGUUCUACGCGCCAGCUUCCAAGCCCAAGGACAACUAGGACCGACGGACACACACAACAUCACCGAGUACAUCCCGUUGGAGUUCACAAAGACUUUUUUCCAGACCCACGGAAUACAUCCCUCCGAUACAUCGAUUGCGUUUAAAAGGUGUAGGCCGUACCCCUGCUGCCCAAAGGAUCCCAAGAAACCAUGUAUUGAAGCACCAAGCUGUUGCUAUCAGAUAAACUGCAAUGAUCCUGGGCAACCACUUGGUACUUGUACUGAACGCGCGUUCUCCUGUAAUUGUGACAAUAGUUGCAAGUGAUCAAGUGUUUCCCUUAAAAAAACUGUUUUUGUUUUCCCGCAAAAAAAAACUGUUUUUGUUUUCCCGCAAAAAAAACUGUUUUUAGUUAGCUAUGAAGAAGCAAGAUGGAUUACAUUGACCCAAAACCAGUCAAGCAGAUAAGAUAAAGUAGCAACCAAAACAAACAGAUUUUAACGGCGACUCCGCUCUCUCCAAGCUCUGAAUCCGGCGACUCCGCUCCCCCGCGGGCCUCAUGUUCGUUGGGUAGUGGUUAGAUUCGCCGGAUCAGCUGCAUAGUUCGUUUUGGCUAUAGUCUAGGUUAGAUUGGGUUUGACUGACCGUCAUGGCUUCUCCGACAGCGAUGGCGGUGGCCGUCAAUAAGGGUGCCUCAUAUCUAUCCCUCACGCUUUAGUCUUCACAGCAGUGGGUGACAGAUCUGGAGGCUACGGUCUGCUCGCGCGUCAUGUGUCGCCAGUGAGAUCUUGGUGGUAGGGCUCGGUCGGCGAGGCGGCGGCAGAGUCCGAACUCUUGUCAUUUGUCCAUCGGGCUUGUCUCCGUCUUAGCGGUGUCUCCUCCAACACAGCUCGAGCGCAUGGGAGGAUGCUUAGGGGUGAAUUGACCGAUGUUGGAUCCCUCCUCGGAUGGUGGCAGCACGGGCGACCCCUGGGACAUGGUGGCCUCGUAUAAGGGUUUGUGGAAGACGGUGAGCAGAUGCGAUCUCCUCCUUCGACGGCAUCGAGCGGAGUCGGCGGAUCUACAAUCCGACGAGCAUGGGGAUGUUCCCAGACCGGCGUGCUGCAGAGGUUCAGCCUUGUCGUUCUGUGGCGGGCUGCUCAAUCGGUUCACAACGUUGCUUCAGCUAUGAUGCAUCAGCGGAUCUGGUUUGUGGGGUUGCUCGCUUUUCCUAUUGCCGGCGGUGCUUCAGCAACGACUGUGGUCGGCACCGAGCGAAGAUGACAAUGGAUGCAAGGGUCUCUUAGGACUGAGUUUUUACUUGUUUCUUUGGACGUCUUUUGUGCAAUUGUACGGGGACACCUGUGUUCCUUGGUCUUUUUUAUGAAUUUUGUGUGUACAUGUUGUUUAUGCUAUUUUCAAUAAACACGUAGUUUUUCCUUAAAAACA